GAAAUCAGGGAGCUUUAAAUUGAGUUACUUAGAUUUUGAGUUGGCAGCAAUUUAUAAUUUGCAAUUAUAAGAGGUAUAAAUGAAUAUAAAAUCUA
This 95-nucleotide transfer RNA is filed under the name Metacrangonyx panousei. Its description in RNAcentral is "transfer RNA Alanine". The record is from RNAcentral. Lineage: Eukaryota; Metazoa; Arthropoda; Malacostraca; Amphipoda; Metacrangonyctidae.